Molecule: ribosomal RNA, 531 nt
Filed under: uncultured Enterobacterales bacterium
Lineage: Bacteria; Pseudomonadati; Pseudomonadota; Gammaproteobacteria; Enterobacterales
Description: bacterial SSU rRNA
Rfam family: Bacterial small subunit ribosomal RNA
Source: RNAcentral
AGAGUUUGAUCCUGGUUCAGAUUGAACGCUGGCGGCAGGCCUAACACAUGCAAGUCGAACGGUAGCACAGAGGAGCUUGCUCCUUGGGUGACGAGUGGCGGACGGGUGAGUAAUGUCUGGGAAACUGCCCGAUGGAGGGGGAUAACUACUGGAAACGGUAGCUAAUACCGCAUAACGUCGCAAGACCAAAGAGGGGGACCUUCGGGCCUCUUGCCAUCGGAUGUGCCCAGAUGGGAUUAGCUAGUAGGUGGGGUAACGGCUCACCUAGGCGACGAUCCCUAGCUGGUCUGAGAGGAUGACCAGCCACACUGGAACUGAGACACGGUCCAGACUCCUACGGGAGGCAGCAGUGGGGAAUAUUGCACAAUGGGCGCAAGCCUGAUGCAGCCAUGCCGCGUGUAUGAAGAAGGCCUUCGGGUUGUAAAGUACUUUCAGCGAGGAGGAAGGCGUUGUGGUUAAUAACCGCAACGAUUGACGUUACUCGCAGAAGAAGCACCGGCUAACUCCGUGCCAGCAGCCGCGGUAAAAGGG